This is an unclassified non-coding RNA of Chelonoidis abingdonii (Abingdon island giant tortoise), 173 nucleotides long. The record is from Ensembl. Lineage: Eukaryota; Metazoa; Chordata; Testudines; Testudinidae.
CUGCAAGCCCUGGAGAAGGAAGCCUCCUCUUUAUCCACAGAACAGGUAAAGCAUAAGCAGCUGCAGAGAAAACUUCCCACGUCCCCAGCCAAGGUGCCAGGCCUCAGAGUGGAGAUGCAGGUCUCGCCUCUAGACUCGAGGAAUUCAGUCUGACACUGCCAACUGGAGCUGGG